AUACGGAGGGUGCGAGCGUUAAUCGGAAUUACUGGGCGUAAAGCGUACGUAGGCGGUUUGUUAAGUUAGAUGUGAAAGCCCUGGGCUUAACCUGGGAACUGCAUUUAAAACUGGCAGACUAGAGUUUGAUAGAGGAGAGUGGAAUUUCAGGUGUAGCGGUGAAAUGCGUAGAGAUCUGAAGGAACAUCAGUGGCGAAGGCGACUCUCUGGAUUAAAACUGACGCUGAGGUACGAAAGCGUGGGUAGCAAACAGGAUUAGAAACCCCAGUAGUCC
Molecule: ribosomal RNA, 274 nt
Filed under: uncultured bacterium
Lineage: Bacteria
Description: partial 16S ribosomal RNA
Rfam family: Bacterial small subunit ribosomal RNA
Source: RNAcentral